RNAcentral lists this long non-coding RNA (1031 nucleotides) under Mytilus galloprovincialis (Mediterranean mussel). The record is from RNAcentral. Lineage: Eukaryota; Metazoa; Mollusca; Bivalvia; Mytilida; Mytilidae.
AUUUUCCUGUUUUGACAGAAAAAGAUUAAAGUUAACUGAUCUUCUGUAAGGACUAGUUAUCUUUUAUUGUUUGCCUAUUCAAAUGUGUAUGUAUAGGCUUUUAUCAAGAAACCACAAUCAAAAGCAAUAUUGGGUUCUGUUUUGUUGUUGCUAGAAAUAUAAAAUACUCAAUGUUUAUAUUAUCAUUUAGGUUUAUAUAAAGCAAAUUUGGAGAAUUGAAUAAAAACUUAGCAAUAGAAAUAUUGCAUUUUUCGAAAUAUUAUGAAAAAAACAAUGCUGAUUUCCUUUAAAAUUGCAAAAUAGAUAAAUGUACAGAUAUAUCUAUUUUUCUCUCUGAUAAAAACAGAUUGCCAAAUGAUACAUAAAUUAGGUAAAUCACAAUUUUAUUGAAUUCAUUCGGGCAAAUCACAGAAUCACUGAUGUCUUUAUGAAUUAAUUUAAGAUUUUGAUGUAUUUUGAAGUAUAAAAUCUGGUGGUUGGAGGCAGUUGUAUUUGAAUUUGUAUGAAAUUAUAUAUUCAUGAAUAUAAUAUAAUUAUUUAAAGAAAAAAAGAUAAUAUAACCUUUUGAAAAAAAAAGAUAUCAACAAGGAUGAGUUUAAAAACUGUGUUAUAGUUGAUAUUGAACUUAUUACCUUAAAUUGAUUGUGAUGGUGACUAUUAUUAUAUAUACAGUUUGAGUUGUCAAGUUUUAUUUAAAGAUAAACUUGAAAACACUGAGUAUUAACUUGAAAGUAUUGAAAGUAUUAUUAAAUCGAAUACAAUAUGAAAUUAUAAAGUUUGGAUUGGGUGUUUUUAUUUUGGUUUUACAAUAACCUUUUUUUUCAUAUACAUUUAAGUUUUCAAUGAAUUAUGUAAUUUUUCAGAUAAAAGAUAAAUAUGUAUAUAUUACUUUUUAAUUGAUUUUAAUUCUUGUGUAAAGUAUAUACUAAUUUGUGCGAGUGCGGGUAUUAAUUGAGGACUAGAUAAUUUGAAUAAACGCAGAAUACUGCUACAUCAUCUAUAUGAAGAUGCUAUCAAGGUUGAUAAAGGUU